Ochotona curzoniae (black-lipped pika) is the source of this 342-nucleotide long non-coding RNA. RefSeq lists it as uncharacterized. Lineage: Eukaryota; Metazoa; Chordata; Mammalia; Lagomorpha; Ochotonidae. The transcript has 2 exons. The record is from RefSeq and is a predicted model, not a curated record.
AUCAUAGUGGGGAUGGUGGUCAUAGUGGCAGCAAUUAUGACAGUGAUGCUGGUGAUGAAGCAGUGCUGCUGCUGAUGUGGCCAUAAUGGUGACAGCCGCAGUGUUGUUGGUAGUGUGGUGACAGCAGGAGUCGUGCCAAUUAUGUUGGCAAUGGUGAUGGCAAUAACGACGGUGGUAGUUAAGGUAGUUUUAGUGGCAAUGAUGGGGAUGCUGGCAGUGAUGGUUAUACUGAUGGUGACAAAGCCUCAGUAUGAUACUGAAGGGUUAGCAGAAGAACUGAGUUCACACACCUGAGCCAUACAGGUGCAUCAUGGACAAAAGAAAAAGACAACGCAUAUGACA